RNAcentral lists this long non-coding RNA (572 nucleotides) under Homo sapiens (human). RNAcentral's name for it is "HSALNT0004804". Lineage: Eukaryota; Metazoa; Chordata; Mammalia; Primates; Hominidae. The record is from RNAcentral.
CAUCGUUAUUAUUUAACUCUUGUUGGAUUUUUACUUCAAUCCAUGUUAAAGAAAUUAGAAGAAAAAAUAAUGGAAAAAGGGAAAUAAAAUUAUCACUUGCUAUUAAGAAUAUUUAUGAAAGAAUUAAUAGAAUUCAUGAAAAUUUAGUGGAGUACCUAGUUGAAUUAUACCAAUACUUCUAUAAAUAAACUUCCCAGUUAGAUGAUAUAAUGAAAAAGAUACACUAUUCCCAGCAGCAACUAAAAAGUACUUAUAUCAAAUACAACUUGAAAUAAUGAAGAGACCAUCUUUUUAAAUGUAAGAAAUAUGUAGAUGUCAGUUAUUUUUAAAUUAAGAUUUAAGGCCAGGUGUGAGCCACCACGUCUGGCCAUAAGUAUCCUACAAUUAGUUUCGUUAGGAUAGCAUGAUAUCAUAAGAUUAGUCAGACUGAAAAUGAUAUAGAAGAGAUAGCCCAAAAACAGACAUUAUUUUUUAAGAAUUUGAUAUAUUUAUCAAUGGCAAAUGAAAGGAAUUCACUAUUUAGAGAAAGAUAAAGAGGUGGGCAUGGUGGCUUAUGCCUGUAAUCCCAGCAC